ACGAACGCUGGCGGCGUGCUUAACACAUGCAAGUCGAACGCUGAAGCUUGGUGCUUGCACUGGGUGGAUGAGUGGCGAACGGGUGAGUAAUACGUGAGUAACCUGCCCUUGACUCUCGGAUAAGCCUGGGAAACUGGGUCUAAUACUGGAUAUGACAUGCCACUGCAUGGUGGUGUGUGGAAAGGGUUUUACUGGUUUUGGAUGGGCUCACGGCCUAUCAGCUUGUUGGUGGGGUAAUGGCCUACCAAGGCGACGACGGGUAGCCGGCCUGAGAGGGUGACCGGCCACACUGGGACUGAGACACGGCCCAGACUCCUACGGGAGGCAGCAGUGGGGAAUAUUGCACAAUGGGCGGAAGCCUGAUGCAGCGACGCCGCGUGAGGGAUGACGGCCUUCGGGUUGUAAACCUCUUUCAGCACGGAAGAAGCGAGAGUGACGGUACGUGCAGAAGAAGCGCCGGCUAACUACGUG
RNAcentral lists this ribosomal RNA (471 nucleotides) under uncultured bacterium. Its description in RNAcentral is "partial 16S ribosomal RNA". It matches the Rfam family "Bacterial small subunit ribosomal RNA", at positions 29 to 507 of the family's 1533-position model. The record is from RNAcentral.